This is a non-coding RNA of Chelonoidis abingdonii (Abingdon island giant tortoise), 167 nucleotides long. The record is from RefSeq and is a predicted model, not a curated record. Lineage: Eukaryota; Metazoa; Chordata; Testudines; Testudinidae.
AGCUGGGGGAUGAGCACCUGCGGAGGCGGGGCCUGUGGGCAGCAUGCGGAGCCCCCUGGCUCCUCCACCUAGGAUCUGCAAGGACAUGCUGGUGGGAGCCAGGGAGGCCUCUACCCCCAUGCAAGCACUGCCCUGCACCCCAACCCUCUGCCCCUCACCCUGAGCCC